GACAGACAAUGCAACAGACAGAUUAGGGGGGCGUCUCAUCAGUAGGGCAUUGCUGUAUGGCUGUAAACAGGUGAGUUGGCUUGACCACAUGCACCAUCUCACAAGGAAAACAACCUUUACCUGCUUUCUCAUGCUUACAUACUUCAAUAUCUUGCACAAUACAGCUCUGUCUUAUGUGAAAGCACUUGUACAGUCUGUCUUAGGCUAGGGUGUAUAGUUAACACUCUUAGCAGAUGAUUUUGCGACCUACAAUUGAGAAGGCAUUCAGUGAUUCAACAAGAAGAGGCAAUGCACACGAGAAGUGCUGGUUAUUCAAAGUAACUUGUUCGUGCUCAGAGAAUUUAGAGCUGGAGUAGGAGUUGUUUUAGCUAGAGGUAGAUGAGAUAAGGAGAGGUGGUACACUGGCACUCAUUGAAGACUGGAGAAACUGCAGCGUUCUGGAACAUCUGUAGAGGCUUAAUGGAUGGGAGUCCAGCUGGAAGAGCAGUGCAGUACACUCAAAAAAAUGAUUCUUGCCUGUAAUUGAAAUUAAGCAAACAAUUUAAAUAGAGUUUGUUUAAAAAAGUAAAAAAUAACUAUUAUUGUUUCAAAUUAUGCUGUCUCAACAUGAAUUUAAUGGACUCGAAACAAACCUGCUCAAAUUACAUAAACUAUACUUAAUUGGUUGCCGUAAAGAGCGAAUGCAGAGGUUGCGCAUGCGCGUAAUUUAAAAACACUGAAGGCGCCAGGACGGGCAUGCGCAUCGGUUAGGAACACUGAAGGCGCCAGGACGGGCUUGCGCAUCGGUUAGGAACACUGAAGGCGGGCUAGCCGGCGGGCUAAGCGCGAGGAAGACAACGGUAGCAGAGAAGUGACAGUGAAGAUCUGAUCGGGAGAGUAUACAAGAGAUCUCAUCGUUGUGACAUUCCACAUUGUCUCCAGUUUGGGACAAUCACUCAAUUACAAUAUGUGAGUCUUGAGAAUGUGGCAAUGUAAAGUGUGUGGCACAGAAGUAUCCAGUAGGUAUGAGUUAUUGAAACAUUCUAAGCUCAAACAUGGACAUUUUGGGGCAAGGUUCAGGCAUCCUUGUGUAUACAAUACAUGUCCUUGCACAUUUAAAUCAUGGAAUAACCUUUUAAGUCAUAUAUACCGUGCACACGUUGAUCAGUCAUCUUCAAAACAAAAUCAGUUAGCUACAUUUUCAUGUCAGCUGUGUACAUGCAUUGAGUCAAAUGAAAGAGAUUACUUUAGUCAUCUAAAUGAACAUCUGCGUAAACAUGAAACUGUGACUUGUGUAUUUAAAGAGUGUACAUUUAAAAGUAACAUUUAUAACACAUUUCAUACACACAAAAAUAGGAAGCACAAUCCACAUUGUCUAACUGACUUUAAAUUAACUGUUGUCACAGUCACUGCAGACUGUCAAGAGUCAGCCAGUUCUCCCAUUGAUUUACCCACAUGUUCAACAGAAUCUGUGUUAGAGUCAUGCAAUGAUGCUAAUACUGAUGAAGAUGUUUUUAAGGGAAGUGUUCUUAAUAUUGCCCUUGUUUUAUUAAAGUUGGAAAACAUUUUGCAUGUCCCAGCCACCGCAGUUGAUGAAUUACUUCAGGAACUACAUUAUUCAUUAACUUCAGCAUCAAAUCAAGUCACUUGUAGCAUAAUUUCUGACAUUUUUAAAAAUCACAACUUAGAAAUUGAUGAAUUUGUCAUUCAAGAGCUUUCUGAAGCAGCAGGCAGGUCAAAUCCCUUGGUUAAAGCCAUAGAAAAAGGUGGUCCCCUUGCCACUGCUUUCAAGCGGAAGCAAUUCUACAAAGAACAUGUAACAGUUGUAGAGCCUAUUGAGUUUAUCCUUAAUCAAAAAAGUCGAAAAACCUAUCAGUAUAUACCAAUUUUGCCUUCUCUUCAGCUGUUGUUUAGUUGCAGUGAUAUUUUACAGUGUGUUAUUGGGGACCACGAGAAGCAAAAAACUGAUUCAGGGGCAGACAAAGAACAGCAGUAUAGGUCAAUCAGAGAUGGACUUUAUUGCAAGGAAAACACAUUUUUUUGUGGAGAGGAAUUAAAAAUAUCACUGUCAUUGUACAUUGAUGAUUUUGAACUCUGCAACCCCUUAGGCACUUCACGUAAAAAGCAUAAACUUUGUGGGGUCUACUGGAUUUUGAAUAAUUUGCCACCUGGAUGCAGCUCCACACUUUCAUCUAUCUAUCUGGCAGUUUUAUGCAAGACUGAACAUGUAAAGUCAUAUGGAUAUGGUACAAUUUUGGAGCCCCUUUUACAGGAAUUGAUUACUUUAGAGAGUCAAGGUGUCUACCUUCCAGGGCUUGGACGGUUUGUGAAAGGUACAGUCCAGUCUGUCAUUGCAGAUAAUUUAGGGGCCCACAGUUUAGCAGGCUUCAUAGAAAGCUUCUCUGGUGAGUACUUUUGCAGGUUCUGCAUAGGGAAGAGAUUGGAGAUUCAAGCUGAAUCUGUUCUGACUGGCGACUUUGCCCUUAGAACAAAGGAAAUUCAUGAUGCACAUGUAGCAUCUGCUAAAGAAAACUCUGUAGCAUUUUGUGGAGUAAAAAGAGGUUGUGUGUUAACAGAGAAUUUAUCUCACUUUCAUGUUACUAGAGGCUAUCCACCAGAUAUUGCACACGACCUGUUUGAGGGUAUUGUACCAUUUGAACUUGCACUUUGCUUGAAAGAGUUUGUUUCCAAGAAGUACCUGUCUCUUGAUACUCUAAACUCAUUGAUUUUGAACUUCCCUUAUAAGUGGGGUGAUAAAACCAAUAAACCACACGUUAUUCCAUAUACAUAUGCCUCCAAGAAGACAAUUGGAGGUAACGCACAUGAAAAUUGGAAUUUAAUGAGAUUGCUUCCAUUCAUCAUUGGAGACUUGAUACCAGAGACUGAGCCUGCUUGGAUCAUACUUCUUGAUUUGAAAGAAAUAGUUGAACUUGCUGUAGCCCCUAUUCAUAACGAAGAAACAGUAGCCUACUUAAACUGCAAAAUUGUAGAGCACAGACACAGAUUUGUUGAACUUUUUCCAGCACAACUGUUACCAAAACAUCAUUAUGUGGAGCAUUAUCCACAAAUGAUUCAGUUUUUUUGGACCUCUAGUAGGGCUGUGGACUAUGAGGUUUGAGGCGAAACAUAGCUUCUUUAAGAAAGUAGCUCGCCACACAAAUUGUUUUAAAAACAUAACGCUCACACUGGCUGCCAAACACCAGCAAAUGAUCGCUUAUCAGAUCCAUUCUUGUAGCCUUAAGAAGUCCAGACUAGAAGUUACUAGUGUCUCCACACUUUCUGUGGAUAUUUUAAACAAGGAAGUGGUAGAAGGCUUAAGACAGAAAUAUCCAGGGAUUAAUGAAGUUCAUCUGGCAAAAAAUGUGACAAACAAUGGGAUAAAUUAUAGAACUGGUAUGCUGAUUUCGUUUGGGUCAGCAGGUGGGCUCCCAGAGUUUGCUGAAAUUCUUCAAAUCUUUAUUGUCAAAAGCAGACUGAAUUUUGUUGUGAAGGUACUGUGUGCAUGGUAUCAAGAACAUUUUAGAGCUUUUCAGUUAACUGUCUCUCCUGAUAGAGAGGUUGCCCUGGUUGAUUUAGAUCAGCUAACGGAUGCUUAUCCACUGUAUGAUUAUAUGGUAGGAGGAAGACGAAUGGUGACCCUGAAGAGGCACAUCCUCAUUUAAGAAAAAAGAAAGAUGUCGAGUCCAGUCAAUCUAAGGAUUGUUUUUGGUGGGGAUGAAGAUGCAAGAAAGCUUGCACUUAAGACAGGAAUCCCAAAGUCUGUGGAUGAACUUGUCCUUGAAAUAAUGACUGUUUUUGGUGUAAAGCAAAAGUUCAGGCUCCAGUACAAAGAUAAGGACUUUGGAAAUGAAUACAUGAAUCUCACAUCAACCACUCAAAUUGAAGACAGGGAUACCCUGAAAGUGAUUUUUCUGUCAACUGAUGACUUUAACUCCUGCAUGCAUGAGACUGCACCUGAUGUACCGUCCUGUUCCAGCAUUCUUGUUCCUUUGCACAAGACAACCUGUAGCUCUGACUCUCCUAACACAAGACAUGCUAGCCCUUGUGAAUUUGACUCAGUCUCAGAAGUCUACUUGUCUGAGGACUCAUUUUCCAGCAGCACCGAGACUGUCUUGAUUAAGUCUCCGGAGUCAAGAACCAGUUCUUGGCCUCAGGUUUUUGUAAUUCCUCGUUUUUCUUGUUCUGCUGAAAUUCAGCUUCAGAGAGCUGACACAGAGUUCAACAAAAGUGAAAUGCUACUUAUUCCACCACCAAAAUUAAGAUCUGACAUUCUUGAAGGCAUGGCUGAGGAGAUCUUUAGGUAUGCUGCAUACCCCACUGAUAGUCAGCUUGAUCAGGCAGCUGAAGCCUUGAUAAAUGUCCACCCUUGCUUGAGGGAAAAGGGAACUCGCACUGGUCAUGAAGGAUGGAAACACUAUCUAAAGAUAAAGAUGGCUAAUUUCCGCUCAAAACUCAGCAAGAUUGGACACCCAGAAAUCACUGUAAAUUCACUUAGGAACAAGCGUGAAGGUCGGGGUAAAGCAGCAUCAAACAUCAAAAAGCCAAAAAAGGCUGAGGUGAAUUUCCUUCCCUGCCUUCCAAGAGGAGAAACAGCUGAUAGUAUGGAGAAGGAAAGAAUUGCUCUCUUAACUGAAGUGAAAAAAAA
Molecule: non-coding RNA, 4624 nt
Organism: Danio rerio (zebrafish)
Lineage: Eukaryota; Metazoa; Chordata; Actinopteri; Cypriniformes; Danionidae
Source: RefSeq, a predicted model, not a curated record